Molecule: long non-coding RNA, 351 nt
Organism: Ornithodoros turicata
Lineage: Eukaryota; Metazoa; Arthropoda; Arachnida; Ixodida; Argasidae
Exons: 3
Source: RefSeq, a predicted model, not a curated record
UCGGACCGCGGAAGUGGCGAAUCGUGCUGUUCAAAUGCCUUUAAUAAUAGCUCCCGUGACGAAUAUACAUGUUUGAUGACGGCCCAUAUUCGACGGAUCCGCUCCCUCUGCAAGUCGCUGGUGAUGUACGUGCCGCAGCUGCGUUAGCGCAACAGAACGAGCCUCAGGACCACUGCUUUAGGAAACAAUCCAAGUGUUUGUGCGGCGUCUGUGCUCCCCAGGAACCCGAUGAGUAGCUAUAUGCUGCAGUGCUGGUGAAGUGGCAGAGUUGUGCAAUGACGGCGAAGUACAGUCUACGUCAGGUUCACUGCUUAUUGUGUGUUUACAAGCUGAGUUUGGAGACCGAGAAAC